GACGGAGGGUGCUAGCGUUGUUCGGAAUUACUGGGCGUAAAGGGCGCGUAGGCGGCCUGGUCAGUCGGAUGUGAAAGCCCGGGGCUCAACCCCGGAACGGCAUCCGAGACGGCCAGGCUGGAGAUCGGGAGAGGAGAGUGGAAUUUCCGGUGUAGCGGUGAAAUGCGUAGAUAUCGGAAGGAACAUCAGUGGCGAAAGCGACUUCCUGGACCAAUACUGACGCUCAUGUGCGAAAGCGUGGGGAGCAAACAGG
RNAcentral lists this ribosomal RNA (253 nucleotides) under uncultured bacterium. RNAcentral's name for it is "partial 16S ribosomal RNA". It matches the Rfam family "Bacterial small subunit ribosomal RNA", at positions 524 to 776 of the family's 1533-position model. The record is from RNAcentral.